RNAcentral lists this ribosomal RNA (292 nucleotides) under uncultured bacterium. Its description in RNAcentral is "partial 16S ribosomal RNA". It matches the Rfam family "Bacterial small subunit ribosomal RNA", at positions 505 to 796 of the family's 1533-position model. The record is from RNAcentral.
GUGCCAGCAGCCGCGGUAAUACGGGGGGGGCAAGCGUUGUUCGGAAUUACUGGGCGUAAAGGGCUCGUAGGUGGCCAACUAAGUCGGACGUGAAAUCCCUCGGCUUAACCGGGGAACUGCGUCCGAUACUGGUUGGCUUGAGUUUGGGAGAGGGAUGCGGAAUUCCAGGUGUAGCGGUGAAAUGCGUAGAUAUCUGGAGGAACACCGGUGGCGAAGGCGGCAUCCUGGACCAAUACUGACGCUGAGGAGCGAAAGCCAGGGGAGCAAACGGGAUUAGAUACCCCCGUAGUCC